Molecule: ribosomal RNA, 484 nt
Filed under: uncultured bacterium
Lineage: Bacteria
Description: partial 16S ribosomal RNA
Rfam family: Bacterial small subunit ribosomal RNA
Source: RNAcentral
AUUGAACGCUGGCGGCAGGCCUAACACAUGCAAGUCGAGCGGAUGAAGGGAGCUUGCUCCUGGAUUCAGCGGCGGACGGGUGAGUAAUGCCUAGGAAUCUGCCUGGUAGUGGGGGAUAACGUCCGGAAACGGGCGCUAAUACCGCAUACGUCCUGAGGGAGAAAGUGGGGGAUCUUCGGACCUCACGCUAUCAGAUGAGCCUAGGUCGGAUUAGCUAGUUGGUGGGGUAAAGGCCUACCAAGGCGACGAUCCGUAACUGGUCUGAGAGGAUGAUCAGUCACACUGGAUCUGAGACACGGUCCAGACUCCUACGGGAGGCAGCAGUGGGGAAUAUUGGACAAUGGGCGAAAGCCUGAUCCAGUCAUGCCGCGUGUGUGAAGAAGGUCUUCGGAUUGUAAAGCACUUUAAGUUGGGAGGAAGGGCAGUAAGUUAAUACCUUGCUGUUUUGACGUUACCAACAGAAUAAGCACCGGCUAACUUCGUG